UUGACCUCGGAUCAGGUAGGGAUACCCGCUGAACUUAAGCAUAUCAAUAAGCGGAGGAAAAGAAACCAACAGGGAUUGCUCUAGUAACGGCGAGUGAAGCAGCAAUAGCUCAAAUUUGAAAUCUGGCGUCUUCGACGUCCGAGUUGUAAUUUGUAGAGGAUGCUUCUGAGUGGCCACCGACCUAAGUUCCUUGGAACAGGACGUCAUAGAGGGUGAGAAUCCCGUAUGCGGUCGGAAAGGCGCUCUAUACGUAGCUCCUUCGACGAGUCGAGUUGUUUGGGAAUGCAGCUCUAAAUGGGAGGUAAAUUUCUUCUAAAGCUAAAUAUUGGCCAGAGACCGAUAGCGCACAAGUAGAGUGAUCGAAAGAUGAAAAGCACUUUGGAAAGAGAGUUAAAAAGCACGUGAAAUUGUUAAAAGGGAAGGGAUUGCAACCAGACUUGCUCGCGGUGUUCCGCCGGUCUUCUGACCGGUCUACUCGCCGCGUUGCAGGCCAGCAUCGUCUGGUGCCGCUGGAUAAGACUUGAGGAAUGUAGCUCCCUCGGGAGUGUUAUAGCCUCUUGUGAUGCAGCGAGCGCCGGGCGAGGUCCGCGCUUCGGCUAGGAUGCUGGCGUAAUGGUCGUAAUCCGCCCGUCUUGAAACACGGACCAAGGAGUCUAACAUCUAUGCGAGUGUUCGGGUGUCAAACCCCUACGCGUAAUGAAAGUGAACGGAGGUGAGAACCGCAAGGUGCAUCAUCGACCGAUCCUGAUGUCUUCGGAUGGAUUUGAGUAAGAGCAUAGCUGUUGGGACCCGAAAGAUGGUGAACUAUGCCUGAAUAGGGUGAAGCCAGAGGAAACUCUGGUGGAGGCUCGCAGCGGUUCUGACGUGCAAAUCGAUCGUCAAAUUUGGGUAUAGGGGCGAAAGACUAAUCGA
RNAcentral lists this ribosomal RNA (912 nucleotides) under Cladosporium macrocarpum. RNAcentral's name for it is "eukaryotic LSU rRNA". It matches the Rfam family "Eukaryotic large subunit ribosomal RNA", at positions 1 to 938 of the family's 3401-position model. Lineage: Eukaryota; Fungi; Ascomycota; Dothideomycetes; Cladosporiales; Cladosporiaceae. The record is from RNAcentral.